GACGAACGCUGGCGGCGUGCUUAACACAUGCAAGUCGAACGGAAAGGCCCUGCUUUUGUGGGGUGCUCGAGUGGCGAACGGGUGAGUAACACGUGAGUAACCUGCCCUUGACUUUGGGAUAACUUCAGGAAACUGGGGCUAAUACCGGAUAGGAGCUCCUGCUGCAUGGUGGGGGUUGGAAAGUUUCGGCGGUUGGGGAUGGACUCGCGGCUUAUCAGCUUGUUGGUGGGGUAGUGGCUUACCAAGGCUUUGACGGGUAGCCGGCCUGGGAGGGUGAUCGGCCCCAUUGGGCCUGAGAUACGGCCCAGACUCCUACGGGAGGCAGCAGUGGGGAAUAUUGCACAAUGGGCGGAAGCCUGAUGCAGCAACGCCGCGUGCGGGAUGACGGCCUUCGGGUUGUAAACCGCUUUCGCCUGUGACGAAGCGUGAGUGACGGUAAUGGGUAAAGAAGCACCGGCUAACUACGUG
RNAcentral lists this ribosomal RNA (468 nucleotides) under uncultured bacterium. Its description in RNAcentral is "partial 16S ribosomal RNA". It matches the Rfam family "Bacterial small subunit ribosomal RNA", at positions 28 to 507 of the family's 1533-position model. The record is from RNAcentral.